UACGGAGGGGGCUAGCGUUGUUCGGAAUUACUGGGCGUAAAGCGCGCGUAGGCGGCUUUGUAAGUUAGAGGUGAAAGCCCGGGGCUCAACUCCGGAACUGCCUUUAAGACUGCAUCGCUCGAAUUGUGGAGAGGUAAGUGGAAUUCCGAGUGUAGAGGUGAAAUUCGUAGAUAUUCGGAAGAACACCAGUGGCGAAGGCGACUUACUGGACACAUAUUGACGCUGAGGUGCGAAAGCGUGGGGAGCAAACAGG
Molecule: ribosomal RNA, 253 nt
Filed under: uncultured bacterium
Lineage: Bacteria
Description: partial 16S ribosomal RNA
Rfam family: Bacterial small subunit ribosomal RNA
Source: RNAcentral